RNAcentral lists this long non-coding RNA (4310 nucleotides) under Brassica napus (rape). Its description in RNAcentral is "long non-coding RNA (BNAP_LNC013067)". Lineage: Eukaryota; Viridiplantae; Streptophyta; Magnoliopsida; Brassicales; Brassicaceae. The record is from RNAcentral.
ACGAAGGCUGCGUUGAAUGCAGCCUCUCCCUUCAUAUUUAUGAAUCAUUUACAAUCUUACUUAUCUUGGUGACAAGCAUAAAGAUUCUUCCUUUCUUUAGUUUCAUUGCACAAUAAAGCUUCUUAAAGCUAUUUCAUUUUCUGUGUCAAUAAGCUCUUAUGAGCAGAAUCUAUCUUGUUUUGAGUUUGUCUACAUGGUAUCAGAGCACCAGGGAGUAAAUCCUUGGAUCUAUGGGUUUUAUUUUCACCAGCUUCCAAUAUACAACCCUUUCUGUCACUAAAGCUCCAAACUUGCUUCACUCACGCUGCUCUCCUUCAGUCACGCUGGUACAAUUCACUCCAUGAAGCAAGAGGACGAAAUCAUCCAGCCUUUUCAACACCAGAACAACAAGACGUUUUCUUUAAGCUUCAGUUAGAUGAAGCUGUGUGUUUUCUGGGUAGCGAUGAAGCUGAAGCUGUGAAGUAGGGCUCAGAACAGACAGAGAAGAAAGAAAGACUUCCUCAUCACUUUAUGGACGGUAUUGUCUAUUUCUUUCUACUGAGACAGAACAAAAGAUGAAAAAUAAAUGUCUCUGUGUUGGAUUGAGUUGCUGGUUAGCUUAAAUUCUUGGGUUAAGAUAGGUUUGGAACCGAAGCUAUAAUGAAAUAGGCAGGUUUGGGUUUGUUGCGUGUGGAAGCUCUGGCUUUAAUGCUAAUGCACACAAAGUGCUCGCUGAAAUGCUCACAAGAAGGUCAGUUUGUUUAGAGGCAGAGUUUUGGUGAUAUUGAUGGGAAGCAGAGAGUGAGUAUAGUUGUAUUUGGUAGGUGUGGAAAGAGUGUUCUUCAUUAGACACAUUAGAAGGAUGAAAUGGGUAAAGUAAACCUAGAUUCAUAGUGAGACAAAUAGGCCACAAUUAUACCUCUGAGUGAGAUCAACUAAGCUCUCCAAGUUCAAGAGAAACCUCUGAGUGAAGCCAUGUGAUACUCUCCAAGUAUAGGUCUGAAUAGAUCUCACACUAAUGUUUGUCUACAAUGGUGAGUAGAACCAUUUGCUAACAUCUCAAGCAUCCUACUUCAUCUACUUAUGCUCAUUUCAAGCCAUAUCCAUCUGUGCUUUCAAACUCAGCGUAGCUGCUCCAUCCACGCUAAGUUUGCGGGGGAGUAUUAGCAAGGCCCAAAUAAAGACCGGAAGCCCAUUAUCUAAGCUCAUUGUAUCUAGGUUUUCUAGCAUAUUGAGUUGAUAUAAAUAUCUGUGUAAGGUCACUUUGCAAUGUAACGAAGGCUGCGUUGAAUGCAGCCUCUCCCUUCAUAUUUAUGAAUCAUUUACAAUCUUACUUAUCUUGGUGACAAGCAUAAAGAUUCUUCCUUUCUUUAGUUUCAUUGCACAAUAAAGCUUCUUAAAGCUAUUUCAUUUUCUGUGUCAAUAAGCUCUUAUGAGCAGAAUCUAUCUUGUUUUGAGUUUGUCUACAAGAAUGAGGGUUUGCAUAUAAACCUUACGUAUGGUCUUACUAAACCAGUUUAAAUCAAACUAAUGGUAUUGCAGAAUCAUCUCCUCUCUUUGCAGCCUCGCGAAACUGAGCAAACACACCAUCAAUUUUCAGAAAAUUUUCUCUUAAACUAAUGGUAUUGCUCAUAUUCAGCUAAAAAGGCAUUAGAUAAAAAAAAAAGCUGCACAUUUAGUUACCUGUUUUGCCCACUCUUCACGCCUAGUUCUCUUCAGAUAGUUUUGGACAAACAACCUGUCCGUUGAAAUCAGUUUGCAUAUACCGGUUAAUACUUUCUUUAAGGUUUGCCUUUGUAUAUUCUUCUUGCUAAGCCAACGGAGCAAUCCAAACCUUUGAGCAGUUGAAGAAGCUCACCUAUUUCAGCCUUAAAUCUGAAAGAUCCAGGGCCAAUCACUUGACUUUUGCAAUCGUAUAAAGCAUCUACAGCCUACACACCAAAAGUUUUAUCUUUGAAUAAGCACUCAACUCCGUACCCAGUCGUUCUUUAACAAAUGAAGAACUUUACGCAUGUCUUGAUGAUCUUUUGCUAACAUGGACAACGGACUGAGCAGUUUGUUCGUUAAUGGGCUUUACCAAGAGGCGUUGUCAAAGUAUGCGCUUGCUUUAGAGCUUGUUCCGGAGUUUCCCGAAUGCACAGAGCUUCGGUCUAUAUGCCGUUUAAACAGAGGAGUGUGCCUCUCUGAGGAAGAGCUUCAGCUUCUCUGCGAAUACGUACGCCCAUCUUCUUCUUCCUUAGAUUAAUCUGUAUCUUGUUUAUUGAGCCAUUCAUCUUGACAAUUAUUAGUCUUUGUUUGGAAGAGACUGGCCCAAUAAAACUGCAAUUAGAAUUGGUUCAAAUGAGGAAGUAAUUGCUUCUCAAGCAUCUCAUGUUCUUCUGUUGUUGGAUUAUAGAUAGAUACCAAAUGAUUAGUUUACGCGAGACAUCCAUUGUUACAUUUUGAAGUAUUUAUUUUCCAUUUGGAGGCAUUAAAUUGUUAUUUUUUCUCUUUGUUGUAAUCUUUAGACAUCCAGCCAAUAUCACACUUCUGCGUGGAAAUCAUGAAAGUAGGCAGCUAACGCAUGUAUACAUUAUCCCUGAGUAGAUGUAUUUGUGUCUGUAGCUAAGCUGAAGGAGAUGGGAAACUCAAUUUUGGGUCGAUUUGGGAAGAGCAUGGACAACUUCAAGGCUGUUAAAGAUCCCAACACUGGCUCCUACUCUCUUUCUUUCCAAAACUGGUCACUAUAUCAUUAUGUUGUUCUUUCUACCACUUGAUUUAUAGCAACAAAAUGUUUAAUAAUAUUGCAAUGUGUUAUGUUCUUGACGCAUUGGUAGUGAAAUGAUGAGCAAUCUUUUUUGGAUUUUAGUAUAGCUGUAAAUUCAAAAUUCAAUGUUAAAACUUACAACAAUGGAUAAUGUUCUCACAAAAUUUUCGUUUAUUUUACUAAUCUUUAUUUUUAUGUUUUAAAUCUAUGUUUAAAAUGUUAUGUUUAAGAAUUUAAUAAAUAAAUUUGAAGUUUAAUAAAAUAAUGUUUAAUAUUUUUUUAAAGAACCCUUAAAUAAGAGACUUGCAAUGGACAACACAAAUAUACCAGUCUCUUAAGUAACUCUUAAACCUACUUUUCCAACUAAAAAAAUAUUAAAAAAAGAUUAAGAACCUCUCAAUGAGUACGUGGGAUAAUGAUACUCUAAUGUCUAGAAGAGUCUGUGUUUCAAAAAAAAAAAAAAUGUCUAGAAGAGUGAUUUGACUAAACUAAUAAACAACGUAUAAUCUUUGAUCAAUGCUUGAUAAUUUAUAUUUCUAAAGGAUUUUUUUUUCCAAAUAGAGAUUAGCAGAUUUUAGGAAUAUGAUUUAUUUUAGGAAUAUGAUUUAUCUAAAAUCUAUAAUAAUUUAAAGAAUAUAAUCUCAAAGACUAGUGCAUACUUGACAUCUCUUUUACCAUGGCUUGUUCUAGAGAAGAUAGAAUUCUUGCAGUAGCCUUUUCUGGAUGUGUGGAUAACUGGAAAUGCAUCGUUGCUUCUCCCCAUGUUAUUCCAGGUGGAGUUUCUUAAAACAUCCUACUUGUCACAUUGUACUGAAUGCUGCUUCCAAUUUAUAAUUGUAGUUUUUUCUGUUGUCUACGGAGGAUUACACCAAGCCGGAAAAGGAGCAAUCAUGCAUAUCACCCGGAAACUAAGAAGACAACUGAAAAGUACCUAACAUUACAAAAACUAGGAAGGAACAAGGUCCCUAAGAAAUUUUGAGCUAAUAAACAAUUAUCAAAGGAAGGAAGCAAGUCUAUAAGAGCAGCCGGGACAAACAAGAAAGCGAUGAGGGUCAAGAUUAUUGAGGUGAUAGCAAGGCUUCAAAAAAACUUCUGAUACGAACCACAAGCAACCGCCACUGACAAACAAGUUUCCACUAAGGGAAGCCACAAGAAAACGGAUUUCCACCCAAGCAGCAGACGUAAAAACGGGUGACAAUCAAACUACUCAAUCACCCAACGCAAUUGAGCUGAAUCUCCAUAGUCUCUUACCAAAAAAUCCGGAAGAACCUGUCGGUUUUAAACCAAGGAAUGGCACGACAUCACCAAACUGAAGCUUCACAAUGGAUAAGUCAAUAAUAAACCCAAAGGUUGAGCACCGAGACCUUACCGAAGAUAAUUCGAGAAGAAACAUGACUAUCGAGAGCAGAGGACAGAGCCUUAGAUCGCAGCUGGGAGACCCAAACAGAAGAUACAAAGAAACCAACACUGCCUCACGACCAACCAACUCUAUCACUUCAAAGAACACUUAAGCUACUUAAGUUAAGCACUAACCAGAAAAAACCACACUCCAAAGAUUAAAGGUCCUUCAACAAAGACGACCAUU